Long non-coding RNA from Bactrocera dorsalis (oriental fruit fly), 984 nucleotides. RefSeq lists it as uncharacterized. The record is from RefSeq and is a predicted model, not a curated record. Lineage: Eukaryota; Metazoa; Arthropoda; Insecta; Diptera; Tephritidae. The transcript is spliced from 5 exons.
AAUUUAAUAAUAAAUUAAUUAGUAAUUAAUUAAAAUGAGUUGCUCAAAGAGGCAUUUGAAACGCCUUUUAAAGCUAAAAAAGAGUUUUAUACAGAGCAAUUAGCCGUUAAAAAUGAGGAAUCAGUACGAGUUUGGGGAAACGAUGCCGCUACCGAGAAUAUUGCGCAUUGUAAUUCUUUUCAUAGUACUGAUGCCACUAGGGAAAAGCUUCCAUUAAAGAAAUUUGCCACAUAACGACCAAUUACUUUUUAUACCAAUAUUACAUGGCUGCACUAAUUAACGUUUUUAAUUUUGUUUUCAUAUACAUACUUACAUACAUAUGUAAAUAUUUGGAGUUGCUACAUAAGGAAAAAAUAUGGAAACAGCUGGAAAGCUUCGCCGGAUGAACGCCGGAAUACCCCAAUCAUUUUUAGAUAGCUUCAAUGAUGGUUGCGAUAAGUGCAACAACCUUCAAAAAUUAUUUGUGGACAAAAUUACAAAAUUGGGAGAAUGAAUUGAAAAACAAAACAAAGUGAUCAUUAAUAUUUUGGCGGAACAUGCCGUUUUGUUACAAAAUCUAACUCAAAAGGAGAAGGAAACUGUUGGAGCUAUUUCCUAUCAAAACAGAUGAUGAUAUCGUGAAAUUAGAGGUGGAAAUAAAUGAUGAUAAUAGAGAUUUCUAUAUUUCAGCAGUGAAAUACUUGUUACAAGGAAAGGUUGUAAAAAAUUUCGAAAAGAUUUUGGCGCGUAAAUUUUGCCUUGAAUACAACAUUAAUGGAAUUGGCAACAAAAAGAGCUUUAAGGAUUAUUCUAUGGUGUAUACCAUACUUUAAAGUAUGGACAAUUGAAAAGCAAUUGGAAAAACAGCAGUAAAUGCGGAAGCGGAAAUGAGGAGGGCUUUUCAGAUCGUAAAAAAGAGGCAUUUCCGGCAGGUUUCUUCGAUCAAAAAUCAUACCUAAUAUAAAAACUGAUUUUUUUGCGUUACACAUACGUACCUCUCCUAAA